GACGAACGCUGGCGGCGUGCUUAACACAUGCAAGUCGAACGGAAAGGCCCUGCUUUUGUGGGGUGCUCGAGUGGCGAACGGGUGAGUAACACGUGAGUAACCUGCCCUUGACUUUGGGAUAACUUCAGGAAACUGGGGCUAAUACCGGAUAGGAGCUCCUGCUGCAUGGUGGGGGUUGGAAAGUUUCGGCGGUUGGGGAUGGACUCGCGGCUUAUCAGCUUGUUGGUGGGGUAGUGGCUUACCAAGGCUUUGACGGGUAGCCGGCCUGAGAGGGUGACCGGCCACAUUGGGACUGAGAUACGGCGCAGACUCCUACGGGAGGCAGCAGGGGGGAAUAUUGCACAAUGGGCGGAAGCCUGAUGCAGCAACGCCGCGUGCGGGAUGACGGCCUUCGGGUUGUAAACCGCUUUCGCAUGUGACGAAGCGUGAGUGACGGUAAUGGGUAAAGAAGCACCGGCUAACUACGUG
Molecule: ribosomal RNA, 468 nt
Filed under: uncultured bacterium
Lineage: Bacteria
Description: partial 16S ribosomal RNA
Rfam family: Bacterial small subunit ribosomal RNA
Source: RNAcentral